GGAGGGGUGGGUGAGUGGCUUAAACCAGUACAUUGCUAAUGUGCCGUACGCGAAAGUGUACCGAGGGUUCGAAUCCCUCCCCCUCCGCCA
This 90-nucleotide transfer RNA is filed under the name bacterium. RNAcentral's name for it is "tRNA-Ser". It matches the Rfam family "tRNA". Rfam says of the family: Transfer RNA (tRNA) molecules are approximately 80 nucleotides in length. Their secondary structure includes four short double-helical elements and three loops (D, anti-codon, and T loops). RNAcentral also lists the same sequence under 6 other names. The record is from RNAcentral.